Molecule: ribosomal RNA, 468 nt
Filed under: uncultured Planctomycetaceae bacterium
Lineage: Bacteria; Pseudomonadati; Planctomycetota; Planctomycetia; Planctomycetales; Planctomycetaceae
Description: bacterial SSU rRNA
Rfam family: Bacterial small subunit ribosomal RNA
Source: RNAcentral
AAUGAACGUUGGCGGCGUGGAUUAGGCAUGCAAGUCGAGCGAGAAGAUUCCUUCGGGAAUUGGACAGCGGCGAAAGGGAGAGUAACGCGUAGAUAUCUACCUCGAGGACCGGGAUAGCGGCGGGAAACUGCCGGUAAUACCGGAUAACAUCUCAGGAUCAAAGGUGUGAUUCCGCCUCGAGAUGAGUCUGCGUCCUAUUAAUGCUUGUUGGUGUGGUAACGGCGCACCAAGGCGAAGAUGGGUACCGGGUGUGAGAGCAUGGCCCGGCUCACUGGGACUGAGACACUGCCCAGACACCUACGGGUGGCUGCAGUCGAGAAUCUUCGGCAAUGGGCGAAAGCCUGACCGAGCGACGCCGCGUGCGGGAUGAAGGCCCUCGGGUUGUAAACCGCUGUCAGUAGGGAGCAAAUUUCUUGGGGUUAUCCCCUUGAAUUGAGCGAUCUUCAGAGGAAGUACGGGCUAAGUUCG